This 196-nucleotide ribosomal RNA is filed under the name uncultured bacterium. RNAcentral's name for it is "partial 16S ribosomal RNA". It matches the Rfam family "Bacterial small subunit ribosomal RNA", at positions 340 to 525 of the family's 1533-position model. The record is from RNAcentral.
UACGGGAGGCGACAGUAGGGAAUUUUCCGCAAUGGGCGAAAGUCUGACGGAGCAACGCCGCGUGAGUGAGGACGGCCUUCGGAUUGUAAAACUCUGUUCUACUCGGAAGAGCAUCCUAGAGCUGAAUAGGUUCUAAGAUCCGACGGUACGAGAGGAGAAAGCCCCGGCUAACUACGUGCCAGCAGCCGCGGUUAUA